Molecule: small nucleolar RNA, 137 nt
Organism: Trichomycterus rosablanca
Lineage: Eukaryota; Metazoa; Chordata; Actinopteri; Siluriformes; Trichomycteridae
Product: small nucleolar RNA SNORA5
Exons: 1
Source: RefSeq, a predicted model, not a curated record
UGCAGCCUAGUCAAAUUCGGUGCAUCCUCUUCAGUGGGCUGUACUGGCCAAAUGGCUGCCAUAGGAAAGUGGGUAGUCCAUGGGCCCCGUCAUCUUAUAAAGUGGAUACUGGGGAUAAUUAAUGGCUAUGCACAAUA